This is a long non-coding RNA of Haliotis rufescens (red abalone), 4179 nucleotides long. RefSeq lists it as uncharacterized. Lineage: Eukaryota; Metazoa; Mollusca; Gastropoda; Lepetellida; Haliotidae. The transcript has 5 exons. The record is from RefSeq and is a predicted model, not a curated record.
UUUUGACCUUUAUCAUGAUUAUUUUACACAACAUAGAUAAUUUUCUCAAUGUUCCUAAUCUUGGGACUAUUAUAAAAUAGAUUCAUUUUAAACAUGUUACGUUUAAUAUAAGAAUAUUCAUGAAUGAGUUGUUUCCUACGUUUAAUAUAAGCAUAUUCAUGAAUGAGUUGUUUCAUACGUUUAAUAUAAGAAUAUUCAUGAAUGAAUUGUUUCCUCUCUUUUUUAAAUGAAGCUAGGACAAAGAGUAAAAUGUAUUUCCUAUGUGACCUCUAGCUGGUGACAUUCAGUGAACUUGACAUGUGAUGAUGACCUGUAAUGUUCAUAUUAUAAUAGUUUAUCAAACUGUAAAUAAAACUGUAAUAUAAAUUAUUAAUACAUGUAUAUUCAAUGUUAGGAAAUGUCAGUACAUAUGUCCGAGUAGGGAAUUGUCAGUGUGGAGGAAAUGUCCUACACUCCAUUAAUAUAUGGUGUGGUACAUAAACAAUGAGCCAACACUCCCAUGUUGUAAAGGUGCUAAUUUUAGAACUAAUACGUGGCAAUGAGUAUGAUAACCUUAUUAUUCAGAUCUUCAGAGAUGCAGCAACAGAAGCCAGCACUGGCUUGUUUUUUCCUAUCCGUUUUAAAAAACGUUACGGAACAGUGUCAAACCAUACCUACAUUGUUUUCUGUGAUGCAUGAUGCAGGUACACGUGAUCUUGUCUUCUUAACUUCUUAACAUUCACUUACUUCAUUAGUGCAGGCGCACACGCAUAACUAAACACAACGACAUGAGCAUGUUUCAAUUGUAGCCCUCCCUCCUUUAGUGAACAUUUAUAAACAACCGGUAUCGAUACAUAACACGUUCAGGCAUUUCCUCUGGUCUCGAAUUCAAAGUAACUUCAAAUUAAUUAAAUACUGUGUAGAAAUCCUAUUGCAGUGAAGGAAUGUUAAGAACAAGAUGACAAAAAGGACUGCAUAGUGUUAUGUGUUUGAAGUCAUUAUUCUAUAUUCUAAGCAGACACGAUGUCAUCUCUUUGAUGGCUUCUCACUCUUAUCAUCCAAAUUUCUAGAAAAAACAUUCAAUCCCUUUAUGAAAUCAGUAGAGGGGCUUUGACAUGGCAACGCCGUUGCGAAAGGAUGCCAAACGUGUCAUCUUACUGGUGUGUAUUGUAUUCUCAAGCUGAAACAACAUAGUUUUCUCCCUGUCUGUCGUAAACUUUUGUUGCCCUACACUUAAAACAAUAGAAGUGGUCAUUGGCACUGAUUGGUAACGGCUUAUUGUCCAACGGCUUUGAGUCAAAAGACGAUAAAUAACGUUUCAACGAAUAUAGCUUAACGUCCCAAACCAUGGAGGAGACAACUAGCGUACGUGUUGGCACUCGUGUUCAGGCUCUUGACACCGAAUCCGGCAAGUGGAGAUCCGGGUGUGUAGUGGAUGUAUACCUUGUUUGGAGGAAAGUCAACGUCAAUUUCGACAACUUCCCCAAGAAAUGGAGCACUUGGAUUUCCAUAGGCAAUAUGGAAGAUGAAGUUUCGUCAUUCCUUAGUCAGCUGGACAAUGACACAGUCAGUGCAGUGACUAUCUGGGGGAACCGAGAGAGCAGGAACUGUUAACCUGGACCCAGGCGGUUUAGCCCUACAGUCGAACAAAAACUUGCUGUGCUGCUCCUUGAAAUCUACGACCAGAACAACGUUUUGUCUCAAGGAGUUUUGAGCCGAUUGACUGUUGGAGAACAACAAAUGCAGGGCGAAUCACUCAUUAGAAUCAUGGAGAUUAUUGUUUGGGAUUUCCAUCUCUAUUGUUUAGAUAAAGGGUACUCGCACGACCAGUAUAAAAAAGAGGAAACGAGAGGAUAUGCAGCAAGAGCAAGAGCAAACCAAGAAAAGGACAAAUCCUGCGAAUGAGCAUCAAGCCAGUCGACAAAUGCAUCGUCUCCUCCAGCUUCCUCACUUGCAUCGCCUGAAACGACCCUAUGCACAUCACCAUCACCACGCCAUGUAUCUACCUCAACAACAGGAUUGUCUGACCAUUCCAGUGACGCAGAUAUCGUCACAUUGAAGCUUGAAGUCGCCAUCCUCAAAAAGGAAAUCCAGGAAUUGCGACUGUUGGUAGAGUCGAUGGUUUCUGACACCACGCCGCCUUCACCAAUAUCAGUCCUUCCAUUACCUGCCCUGUCUCCGUUAAACAAUGCAUUGCCGUCACCACAACUGUCAUCAUCUCCCCUCUCAACGACAUUCACUGUAUUGCCAUCUGCCACGUCACUAACAUCAACGCACUCCAACAUCACAGAAAGCAGAUUUGGGGAUCUGCGGGUAGCAGAUUUACCAUGCAGAAUAUGCGAUAUGAACAUUAAAACCUCCCUGGACACAAGGAAUUCUCAACAGGACGUAGUAGAAGAAGCAAGGCAGCGAGGUGGACAGACCCGUAAGCAGCUCACAAAAGAACUUUAUAGAACAGUUUUCACCCUGCGAGAAACGUAUAAAAGAAAUGUUUACAGGAUGAUAAAGUCAGGCCAGAACAUCACUGUCCAGCCAUUUUACAUCGCAAAGAUGGCCAUGAUAUUUGAUGUCAUAUUCAGUACCUUCCCACCCAAGGGCAAAGCAAAGGAAAAACAAGAAUGUGUAUACGCUAUCAAUCAAGUAAACCGAUACGUGUGGGGUCGGUGAAUGAAAAGAAUUGAACUUCCACCAAUGAUAUUAAUGAAAUAUAAUGUUACUUAUGCUAUGGAUCUGCUGUUAAUAAUUCACAACUUUAAGUUCAACCCUGUCUAGUCGAAAACAACUUUCAAUAUUGUGCAAUUAGUAACGUCACGUUGGUUUUCAAUGUCCAUUUCCACCCAUGUAGAGAUAAAUAUGCAAUAGCCUUUGAAUAUUCCGGGCGGCCACUGUAAAGGAGGGCGGGAUUUUGCAUAUGCUUUUUUCCAUGCUAAGUAUAUAAAGUUACUCUUAAAUGCAAAAACAUCAAUGCUCUCAAGUAACAUGUCAAUACAAAUGUAUUUAAGUGUGUCAGUUAUUCCCAGUAUUCCCGUGUUCAAAUGAAUCCUUUUAAAUCAGUUUUAUUUGUCACUUCAUGUAAUAGUGUCUUUUGGCGGAAUCGUGUGUAAACAUCAACCAUGAUCGUCCUAAAACAACGCCCGGUAGCGAGCACAGUCCAUAAGAAAAUGAACUUUCAUUAACAGCUGUAAAACGUCAUUGUCGCUUAUUGGUCUACACCUAGUGGCUAAUGUGUACAUGAAAACUGACCUUUUUGUAUAUUAAAGUAAUUUUGAUCCUUUAGUUUUGUAUUGGCACAUGCGUGUCGCUAUACUAUUUUUUAUGUAUAUCUCUUAUUUUGAGCAUGAUAUACGAAAAUAUAAUGUUUGUCCGUCUGUUAAAGUUGUUAUUUUUAUUUCCUUAUCCUAAUAGCAGAAACUACAUUGAUAUAUUUCAUCCCUGAUAACUGGAACUCUUUUCCAUUCACACGGAAUAAAAAUUAAAACGUGUGAUUGCUACACUGCGCAUCAUAUACAUACCCAUAUCCUAAAACAUCAAACAGAAACUAUGGCAACAUAUGUCAGAAUAUAAUACAAGGUACAAUCAUUAAGAUUAUAUUUUCCGAUCAAAAUGAUCACAAACUCACUGCAGUUAUGAUAGUAUAUAUGUGUAGCCAUUACACGUAAGUGGCGAAUCCUUUAGAUCCAGUGUUAGCAACCCUUGCUUCACAAUCUGCUUUAGUAUAGGCCUUUGUGAAACAAAGAACUAUAUUCCCAUGUCAAUUCCAAUUCUUGUAAACUGGCGUCCAUUGUUAUGUGUUAUCAUACGGUCCCAAGUAUUUUGUGUUAAAAGGAUAAUACUUUAGUCUUGGCACAAUUAAGACAGAAGAUAUUCAUUGUGGUGAUCAACUUUUAAUAACAACCAAUACUUCUCUCCGUUAAAUACACUUUGUUUGGUAUCAUAGUAGUUAAGACAUAUUCGUAAUCACAUUCAUUAUUAAUUCCUGACAAAUUUUUACAGCUGGCUCUUUGGAAAAUAAGAAAUACAAAAGUCUUUGUCAAGGUCAUUUGAGUGCGUUGAAAACCCGGACGCAUCGCCAUCUACUUCUAUCACCCUUGGUAGAACUGUGUCGAGACUACUGAUAAGUCUGCAGCAUGCUCCUGGAUCCAUCGUUGCCCAGAAUGCAUAAAUGCAAUUUAUAAGUUCGUUUAUAAGCCCAAGCUUUCU